AUUGGCCAGGUUGGUCUUGAACUCCUGGCCUCAGGUGAUACUUUUAAUAAAACAAGUAUUCAGAUUCACUUAAGGAGCAAUGAAAGAAUCGUCUGUUUUAAUUUUAUGCCACAAGGUACUUGUGGCUUAAGAUAAACUUCCUCCUAAUUACAUUCUCCUCAGAUUCAAAAAGUAGUAUAUCUUAAACAACUUUGGUGACAUUUUAAAAUGAUGUGGCUUAGAAAAUUGCUAGGUUAUCUAAAAUGGCUCUGUUUAUGAUGUAAAUGCAGCACAUGAAGAGCUUGUAUAAAAUAGACUUUUGAAGUGUACAAAUGGAAGGAACAGUCCUUCUAAAUAAUUAUUUUCCCUCCUUUUUAUUGAAGUAUUCGUAUAUAUAGAAAAGAUAUCAUGUCAUAAGCGUACUGCUUAGUGAGUUACUCCCAAGUCGGAUAUACCUUGUUAACCACCA
This is a long non-coding RNA of Sapajus apella (tufted capuchin), 448 nucleotides long. RefSeq lists it as uncharacterized. The record is from RefSeq and is a predicted model, not a curated record. NCBI's taxonomy places the organism in Eukaryota, Metazoa, Chordata, Mammalia, Primates, Cebidae. The transcript is spliced from 2 exons.